This 502-nucleotide ribosomal RNA is filed under the name uncultured bacterium. Its description in RNAcentral is "partial 16S ribosomal RNA". It matches the Rfam family "Bacterial small subunit ribosomal RNA", at positions 28 to 507 of the family's 1533-position model. The record is from RNAcentral.
GACGAACGCUGGCGGCGUGCUUAACACAUGCAAGUCGAACGGUGAAGGGGUCUGCUUUUGUGGGCCCUGGAUGAGUGGCGAACGGGUGAGUAACACGUGAGUAACCUGCCCCCUUCUUCUGGAUAACCGCAUGAAAGUGUGGCUAAUACGGGAUAUUCUGGGUCUGUCGCAUGAUGGGUCUGGGAAAGAUUGCGCCUUUGGGUGUUUUUGGUGGGGGGUGGGCUCGCGGCCUAUCAGCUUGUUGGUGGGGUGAUGGCCUACCAAGGCGGUGACGGGUAGCCGGCCUGAGAGGGUGGACGGUCACACUGGGACUGAGACACGGCCCAGACUCCUACGGGAGGCAGCAGUGGGGAAUAUUGCACAAUGGGCGCAAGCCUGAUGCAGCGACGCCGCGUGAGGGAUGGAGGCCUUCGGGUUGUAAACCUCUUUCGCCAGUGAAGCAGGCCUGCUCCUUGUGGGUGGGUUGACGGUAGCUGGAGAAGAAGCGCCGGCUAACUACGUG